GACGAACGCUGGCGGCGUGCUUAACACAUGCAAGUCGAACGGAAAGGCCCUGCUUUUGUGGGGUGCUCGAGUGGCGAACGGGUGAGUAACACGUGAGUAACCUGCCCUUGACUUUGGGAUAACUUCAGGAAACUGGGGCUAAUACCGGAUAGGAGCUCCUGCUGCAUGGUGGGGGUUGGAAAGUUUCGGCGGUUGGGGAUGGACUCGCGGCUUAUCAGCUUGUUGGUGGGGUAGUGGCUUACCAAGGCUUUGACCGGUAGCCGGCCUGAGAGGGUGACCGGCCACAUUGGGACUGAGAUACGGCCCAGACUCCUACGGGAGGCAGCAGUGGGGAAUAUUGCACAAUGGGCGGAAGCCUGAUGCAGCAACGCCGCGUGCGGGAUGACGGCCUUCGGGUUGUAACCCGCUUUCGCCUGUGACGAAGCGUGAGUGACGGUAAUGGGUAAAGAAGCACCGGCUAACUACGUG
RNAcentral lists this ribosomal RNA (468 nucleotides) under uncultured bacterium. Its description in RNAcentral is "partial 16S ribosomal RNA". It matches the Rfam family "Bacterial small subunit ribosomal RNA", at positions 28 to 507 of the family's 1533-position model. The record is from RNAcentral.